RNAcentral lists this ribosomal RNA (393 nucleotides) under Pallidionicus sp. MD-2022. Its description in RNAcentral is "partial small subunit ribosomal RNA". Lineage: Eukaryota; Metazoa; Arthropoda; Insecta; Blattodea; Blattidae. The record is from RNAcentral.
UAUUAUUUUAGAUGUAAAUUAUUAUAACUUAAGUAGUAUUAGUUAUGGCCUUGAAACUUAAAGAAUUUGGCGGUAUUUUAGUCUAUUUAGAGGAAUCUGUCCCUUAAUUGAUAAUCCACAUUGUACCUUACCAAAUUUAUGUAUGUAUACCGCCGUUAUAAUGAUAAUCUUUUUAGGGUUAUAAAGAAUUUUCUAGAUUUAUUUUUAUAUUUUAUUUCAGGUCAAGGUGCAGUUUAUAAUUUGGUGGAGAUGGAUUACAUUUAUUUUUAGUUAUUGAAUUAUUUUUUGAAAUAAAAUUAUGAAAUUGGAUUUAAUUGUAAUUUUUUGUAGAUUGUAAAUGUGAUUUUAGCUCUAUAAUAUGUACACAUCGCCCGUCGCUCUCAUUAAUUAAUU